This 479-nucleotide ribosomal RNA is filed under the name uncultured bacterium. Its description in RNAcentral is "bacterial SSU rRNA". It matches the Rfam family "Bacterial small subunit ribosomal RNA", at positions 30 to 502 of the family's 1533-position model. The record is from RNAcentral.
AUUGAACGCUGGCGGCAGGCCUAACACAUGCAAGUCGAGCGGAUGAGAAGAGCUUGCUCUUCGAUUCAGCGGCGGACGGGUGAGUAAUGCCUAGGAAUCUGCCUGGUAGUGGGGGACAACGUUUCGAAAGGAACGCUAAUACCGCAUACGUCCUACGGGAGAAAGCAGGGGACCUUCGGGCCUUGCGCUAUCAGAUGAGCCUAGGUCGGAUUAGCUAGUUGGUGAGGUAAUGGCUCACCAAGGCUACGAUCCGUAACUGGUCUGAGAGGAUGAUCAGUCACACUGGAACUGAGACACGGUCCAGACUCCUACGGGAGGCAGCAGUGGGGAAUAUUGGACAAUGGGCGAAAGCCUGAUCCAGCCAUGCCGCGUGUGUGAAGAAGGUCUUCGGAUUGUAAAGCACUUUAAGUUGGGAGGAAGGGCAGUAAGCUAAUACCUUGCUGUUUUGACGUUACCGACAGAAUAAGCACCGGCUAACU